RNAcentral lists this ribosomal RNA (724 nucleotides) under uncultured Alphaproteobacteria bacterium. Its description in RNAcentral is "bacterial SSU rRNA". It matches the Rfam family "Bacterial small subunit ribosomal RNA", at positions 8 to 776 of the family's 1533-position model. The record is from RNAcentral. Lineage: Bacteria; Pseudomonadati; Pseudomonadota; Alphaproteobacteria.
AGAGUUUGAUCCUGGCUCAGAACGAACGCUGGCGGCAUGCCUAACACAUGCAAGUCGAACGCCAUCCUCUGGAUGGAGUGGCGCACGGGUGAGUAACGCGUGGGAACCUGCCUUUUUCUGCGGGACAACGAUUGGAAACGAUCGCUAAUACCGCAUACGCCCUACGGGGGAAAGGUCCGCCGGAGAGAGAGGGGCCCGCGUUUGAUUAGCUAGUUGGUGAGGUAAUGGCUCACCAAGGCGACGAUCAAUAGCUGGUCUGAGAGGAUGAUCAGCCACACUGGGACUGAGACACGGCCCAGACUCCUACGGGAGGCAGCAGUGGGGAAUAUUGGACAAUGGGGGCAACCCUGAUCCAGCAAUGCCGCGUGUGUGAUGAAGGCCUUAGGGUUGUAAAGCACUUUCACUGGCGAAGAUGAUGACGGUAACCAGAGAAGAAGCCCCGGCUAACUUCGUGCCAGCAGCCGCGGUAAUACGAAGGGGGCGAGCGUUGUUCGGAAUUACUGGGCGUAAAGGGCGUGUAGGCGGCUCUUUAAGUUAGGCGUGAAAGCCCCGGGCUCAACCCGGGAACUGCGCUUGAUACUGAGGAGCUAGAAAACGGAAGGGGUAGUGGAAUUCCCAGUGUAGAGGUGAAAUUCGUAGAUAUUGGGAAGAACACCAGUGGUGAAAGCGGCUACCUGGUCCGGAUUUGACCGCUGAGGCGCGAAAGCGUGGGGGAGCAAACAGG